This 1586-nucleotide long non-coding RNA is filed under the name Paramuricea clavata. The stretch from base 987 to 1059 matches the Rfam family "tRNA". The record is from RNAcentral. Lineage: Eukaryota; Metazoa; Cnidaria; Anthozoa; Malacalcyonacea; Plexauridae.
AGGUGUCUUACUAAAAACUCCUCAGCAAACAUUGAGCUAGAGUUAUCAAGACCAGUGUGUCUGGAAUUAUAUCAGGACUGUAAGAACUUGGGAAGAUUUAUGUUGCGUUACGGAGGAAAGACUAUAGCAGCUGGCAUAGUCACUGAGGUAAUGCGUGAAAGUUUAACCAAGUUUUCCUUAACAAUUUUUUUAACAAGUUUUAUUUGCUCGUGUGUACUUGGAAACUUGUUGACUCUAAACCCGAGAAAGUAAAGUUGUCAAGGAAUUUAAGGAAAACUUGUUCGUCUAUUACGGGACCUUAUACUGUACUUAGUUGAUACACUUGAUACUUUUUGUGUGUUUGUGUUGGUGUUAUAUACUCAGGUGAAUAUGAUGUUUGUGAUGUUACUCUGAGUAUGCAUCCACACGGACAAGCUGAAAAGUUUGCCUUAGGGAUGAGCCGAUAAGGAAAAUUGCCGAUUACUGAGGCCGAUUAUUUAUAGGUCAAUUAUUGUAACUAAUCGGCCGAUUAAUCGGUACCCACCGAUUAUUUUAAAAAGCAAGGGAAAAAUCACAAGAUGACCAACAAUGAAGUUGUAAAUGCGGUUUUAUUGUUUACAAUACACACUUUAUACAAUUAAAAACAGCUUCAGUCUCUCAUGUCAAUAGUCAAAGUUUAAAUUUGGCAGAUUAUGGUGUAAAAACAAGGCACUGUCAGCUAUGCGGAACUAGUCUGCUGCGUUUUUUUAGUGGAAAUGUUCUCAGCUUCAUUUCGCUUGAGACAAAAGACACAGGUUUGGCACUAACAAAAUGUGAAAAUCUAUUCGCUUGUAUUCAGUAUUUUAGCAUGUGAUUGGCAGCUGCAGAAAAAGUCUUAUGGCCGAUUAUUUGCCGAUUAUCAGGCAAUAAUCGGCCGAUUACCGAUUAUUUAAAAAACGGCCGAUUAAUCGGCUUUGCCGAUUAUUCACCGAUUAAUCGGCUCAUCCCUAGUUUGCCUGACCACGGUGGGAAUCGUAGCUCAGUUGGCAGAGCAUUGGACUAGUAUCCCAAAGGUCGCGGGUUCGAUUCCCACCGUGGCCAGGCGGUGUGGAUGCAAACUCAGAGUAUAACAACGCGAACAUGAUACAAUUGAGUUUGUAAGUUCACGCCAACCAUGUUUACUGUAAGUUUAAUGUAGAUUUCGAAUUCUAAAAUUUAGACUUUGUAUUCUAAAAUUGUAUAAUUUUUCGCUCAGAAUUCCACCAACAAAAGUCUCUUAAAAAACCAGGGUCAGAGUAGCGAGCGAUGAUUUGGAUGUUUUCAUAAUUCAACUGAAUUACCUCUGACUGCAUGCAAAAUACUUCUCUUGUUUGUAGAUUCGAUCUUGACAGAAGUGGAAUUUGGAAGGAGAAGAUCGGAAUUAAAUACCAUCGUGCCUUUGAAUGGACAACGUGACUUGUGUUUGAAAUGUGUGCACUGAUGACAGUAAUAACUUUGCGUGAAUGUAAAGAGGAGGGUUGAACGGGGAUGAAAUAUAAUAAAAUGUAUAAUUUAUCAAACUAAAUUAUUUAAGUAAAUCACAGGGUUUUCUAUACAUGGAGUAAUUAAGCUUUUGCUACACUUACUGG